This is a long non-coding RNA of Gavialis gangeticus (Gharial), 1061 nucleotides long. RefSeq lists it as uncharacterized. The transcript has 3 exons. The record is from RefSeq and is a predicted model, not a curated record. Lineage: Eukaryota; Metazoa; Chordata; Crocodylia; Gavialidae.
ACAGGCUGAUGUUGGAGGACCUGUUCAGACGACACUCCUGUAUGAUGAAAACAAGGUAGAAUUGCAAAAAAGAAAAUACGGAAGCAGAAUGAAUUCUCGUCUUUAAAAGUCUGCAGCCGAGAAUUACCUAGGCAGAGUCACUAAUGGAAUAUAAAGUGGUUGGCAUCCAGCCAGAGUGAGAAAGGGAAGAGGGCAAGUGGCAACUCGCAGCAGGCAGCAAACAGCGCUGGAGAUGCAAGUUAGAAUUGUUUCAGUUGUCUAAAGGAAAGUAAUAGUCAUCCACAGGCUUCAGUCUCAAUUGGGCCCUGUUGUGCCAAGUGCUGCAUGGACUUCAAAGCAUUUGUCUAGGAUGUAUUCGGCACAUCAAGAACUGGAACUAAUUAGCAGCUGGUUUAGCACUUGGUUAUUUGAUCAACCAAUGACUGGAUCAAAAGUUGAGCAAAGUUCAAAGCGUUUUCUUGAUGUCUGCGUAAGUACAGGUUAAUUUCUGUGCCAGUUGCUGUAAUGCAGAGAGAGAAAGUGGUUCCUGGUAGUUUACAAGUACUACUAUCAAUUAAUAAAAGCAGAGGGCAGACACAAAGUGUGCUAUUCGUACUGAAGGACAGUGGUGUGGCAGCCGGGUUUGAGAGAGCAGACAUCUCACACAAGGCACUGUGAACUGGUCAAGUCCUUAGUUAUUGGGCUGUGUGUGGCCUCUCUAUCCUGGGAUCAAUUUUAGCCUGAGAAAAUUGCCUUCAGUUAACUGAAAUCAGGGGUGAUCCAGACAGCUGUGUGCUUAACACCUUUUCUUGCUGAUGGGAAAGUUGUGCGUUAGCACCAAUGUCUGAGGGAACUGCUGUUCAGGCAUAGCUCAUCUCAAGAGGAGACCAGCCAGCUUGGCUGCACUCAAAUGCCUUUUAGCAGCUGUGCUCUGAACAAUCUGUCCUUCAUGGCAUCCCUGAAAUACUCUUUUUUUCCCCUCCUACUCUGGAAAGCGUCCCUGUCCCCUUCCAUGCUCUUUCCCAACAGCAGCCCAAUUCUGCAAUCCUCAUUCAAGUAAUUUGUACUUACGUGAGCAUCAG